RNAcentral lists this ribosomal RNA (253 nucleotides) under uncultured bacterium. Its description in RNAcentral is "partial 16S ribosomal RNA". It matches the Rfam family "Bacterial small subunit ribosomal RNA", at positions 524 to 776 of the family's 1533-position model. The record is from RNAcentral.
UACGUAGGUGGCAAGCGUUGUCCGGAAUUAUUGGGCGUAAAGGGCGCGCAGGCGGUCCUUUAAGUCUGAUGUGAAAGCCCACGGCUCAACCGUGGAGGGUCAUUGGAAACUGGGGGACUUGAGUACAGAAGAGGAAAGUGGAAUUCCACGUGUAGCGGUGAAAUGCGUAGAGAUGUGGAGGAACACCAGUGGCGAAGGCGACUUUCUGGUCUGUAACUGACGCUGAGGCGCGAAAGCGUGGGGAGCAAACAGG